RNAcentral lists this ribosomal RNA (543 nucleotides) under uncultured bacterium. RNAcentral's name for it is "partial 16S ribosomal RNA". It matches the Rfam family "Bacterial small subunit ribosomal RNA", at positions 355 to 887 of the family's 1533-position model. The record is from RNAcentral.
UGGGGAAUAUUGCACAAUGGGCGCAAGCCUGAUGCAGCCAUGCCGCGUGUGUGAAGAAGGCCUUCGGGUUGUAAAGCACUUUCAGCGAGGAGGAAGGUGGUGAACUUAAUACGUUCAUCAAUUGACGUUACUCGCAGAAGAAGCACCGGCUAACUCCGUGCCAGCAGCCGCGGUAAUACGGAGGGUGCAAGCGUUAAUCGGAAUUACUGGGCGUAAAGCGCACGCAGGCGGUUUGUUAAGUCAGAUGUGAAAUCCCCGGGCUCAACCUGGGAACUGCAUUUGAAACUGGCAAGCUAGAGUCUCGUAGAGGGGGUAGAAUUCCAGGUGUAGCGGUGAAAUGCGUAGAGAUCUGGAGGAAUACCGGUGGCGAAGGCGGCCCCCUGGACGAAGACUGACGCUCAGGUGCGAAAAGCGUGGGGAGCAAAACAGGAUUAGAUACCCUGGUAGUCCACGCUGUAAAACGAUGUCGAUUUUGGAGGUUGUGCCCUUGAGGCGUGGCUUCCGGAGCUAACGCGUUAAAUCGACCGCCUGGGGAGUACGGCC